GAUGAACGCUGGCGGCGUGCCUAAUACAUGCAAGUCGAGCGAACAGACGAGGAGCUUGCUCCUCUGACGUUAGCGGCGGACGGGUGAGUAACACGUGGAUAACCUACCUCUAAGACUGGGAUAACUUCGGGAAACCGGAGCUAAUACCGGAUAAUAUAUUGAGCGGCAUGGUUCAAUAGUGAAUGCGGGUUUGGCUGUGCCUUAUAGCUGGAUCCUGGCCGGAUGUGUUAGUUGGUACGGUAACGGCUUCCGAAGGCAAGGAUGCGUGGCCGACCUGAGAGGGUGAUCGGCGACACUGGAACUGGGACACGGUCCAGACUCCUACGGGAGGCAGCAGUAGGGAAUCGUCCGCAAUGGGCGAAAGCCUGACGGAGCAACGCCGCGUGAGUGAUGAAGGGCUGCGGAUCGUAAAACUCUGUUAUUAGGGAAGAACAAAUGUGUAAGUAACUAUGCACGUCUUGACGGUACCUAAUCAGAAAGCCACGGCUAACUACGUG
Molecule: ribosomal RNA, 497 nt
Filed under: uncultured bacterium
Lineage: Bacteria
Description: partial 16S ribosomal RNA
Rfam family: Bacterial small subunit ribosomal RNA
Source: RNAcentral